GGAAACUUUUAUUUCUUAGAAGCCAAAAAACCUGAAACACCAUAUAUUACAUACAAGUGCAAGUCACAAAGUAGGCACUCAAACGCACAUUUGUGGUUAUAUUAGGGACAAAAGAGUCACCCACCCACCCACCUCAUGUACCCCAUUGAUCCCUAAAGAGAUACAGAGGUUCUGAGCCCUAGAAUCCUAUCUGCCCCAUCCCCUCCUCCACUCACAAGAAUCCUUAGCACCCCUCCCCAUCACCCUCUGGUCCCUAGUCCCUGACCCCAAAGUCCUAGGGGUGGGGAACAGUGAGGGUGGGUCUCCCUUCUUCAAUUCCUUCUAUUGUUCCCCCGAAGUCUUAUCUGGGCUGAACGUCCUGUCUCCCCCUUAAGAGGCCCCUCCCCCCAUUGUCGGCCAGAGGGACCUCAGCCCCACAGGGAGGCUCCAGCUCCUCCUCACCACCCCCACCCUAGCAGUCUAUUGUCUGCUGAGGAAGCCCAAGUACACGUGACCAGGCCCAGGGGACAAAGGGACAGUGGCACACCGAUGACCAAGGACCCAGGACAGGGAAUCUGGACAUGGAUCUCUGCACGUUUAGCUUUCUCUGUCCCCGGGGCUGUUCCAGAAGUUGGGAGGGGUGAAGACCCCUUUGGCCUCUACAAUCUUGGGUCUAUGGCUUGAAGAGAAAUCCAUUCCUGUCCAGUGUGGAUAUGCCUUAUGACUUCCAAGACAGCAAAAAUAAGAAGACCCAGAGACUGAAGGGGCCGUGGUCUCCAGCAUCCUCUCCACCUCCCCAUUCUACCUCAGCUGAACAUGGAGGCCUCAGAAGGAAAGAGCUUCCUCAUCCCUCUGCAAAGCAGAACUGGAAAUUACUCUUUGUCAAGCAGGAAGUCACCUGUAGGCUCUUGACCACUCCCAUUUUAACCUACUGUCAUCAAGGUUUUCCUCUCCCAUUAGUCUGGAAUGGAGUAACACUCCCAGCUCCGGGAAAAAGGUUAGAUCCCUUCCUGCUGUGCCUGCCUGCACCUGAGCCAUCAUCUUUACAGAAUUGGAAAUAGUAUUUAAUUCCUUUCUCUGA
Molecule: long non-coding RNA, 1060 nt
Organism: Myotis brandtii (Brandt's bat)
Lineage: Eukaryota; Metazoa; Chordata; Mammalia; Chiroptera; Vespertilionidae
Exons: 2
Source: RefSeq, a predicted model, not a curated record